This 413-nucleotide ribosomal RNA is filed under the name Ancylotropus cariniscutis. RNAcentral's name for it is "SSU rRNA". It matches the Rfam family "Eukaryotic small subunit ribosomal RNA", at positions 765 to 1174 of the family's 1831-position model. Lineage: Eukaryota; Metazoa; Arthropoda; Insecta; Hymenoptera; Eucharitidae. The record is from RNAcentral.
ACUUUGAMCAAAUNAGAGUGCUCAAAGCAGGCCAUCCUCGCNUGAAUACUGUGUGCAUGGAAUAAUGGAAUAGGACCUCGGUUCUAUUUUGUUGGUUUUCGGAACCCCGAGGUAAUGAUUAAUAGGGACAGAUGGGGGCAYUCGUAUUGCGACGUUAGAGGUGAAAUUCUUGGAUCGUCGCAAGACGGACAGAAGCGAAAGCAUUUGCCAAAAAUGUUUUCAUUAAUCAAGAACGAAAGUUAGAGGUUCGAAGGCGAUCAGAUACCGCCCUAGUUCUAACCAUAAACGAUGCCAGCUAGCGAUCCGCCGAAGUUCCUUUGAUGACUCGGCGGGCAGCUUCCGGGAAACCAAAGCUUUUGGGUUCCGGGGGAAGUAUGGUUGCAAAGCUGAAACUUAAAGGAAUUGACGGAAGG